AUGAUAACCAAGAAAAUCAAGCUGGUCAAUGUGGUCCAGGUCAUGCUAUUUCGCCGGAUUCUCCCGUGUCAGAGAUGGGCAUUCAACCUGUGGGAGUUCGACGCGCCCAACACCAGACACUGCAAGAGCUCUUUGACACGACGCACAAAGACGCCUGAAAGGUGUUGUUCAAGGCCAGCGAAGUUCCCCCCCACAUCCGAGGAUCGCGGACUCAGCGCCAGGCGCCAGGCCAAUGCGGAAUAUGUGGCGACGGCGGAGCGGAUCGACUGUCCGGCUCCGUUGCCCGAGGACCCAGCAGACGAACUCCCGACGGAGAUGCUGGCUCCGGCACCCUAUCAGGUGCCGGAGAAGAAGGCCAAGAAAAAGGCCAUGGGGACCAGAAGAAGUUCCCGGCGCAACGUGGUGCCGGACUCAUCGUCCGAAGACACCGAGGCGCACUACUCCAACGACAACGAGGAGGAGGAGGAAAACCCUCUCCCCGAAAACAAGGGGGGGGGGAAGAAGAGGAAAGCCACCCUUUCAGGGGAGGCCGAAGGGUCCAAGAAGGGACGGACCCUUCCUCCGGACCACUCCACCACUGCCGCCUAUAGCGAGGAGUGGCUACCCAGGGGCAAGCCCCUGGCAAGAUCUCCGGCCAGGUCCCAUCCCGAGGUUUCUUCUUCGGAUGGGUCUCUCAACGAUUCAGCAAUGAAUUCGCUCCCGACGGCCACCUCCCCUCGGCCAGCGGAUGACACGGAGGUGCAGUCCCAAAGGGUACCAGAGCAGGGGGAGGCGGCUCUGGAGACGCCCCAAGGCGAAAUUCCAGAUGCCGGGCACAUGGGGAGUAAGAUCCCCAUGGAUUAUGCUGACGAGAGCCGCAGCAAGCUGGGCUCCCAGCCGGACACUGCACCGGAACCUCCAAAGGUUCCGGAUUCGGGUGCACAACCCCUCGCUAGGGAGGGCGAGCCGGCCGUGCCGAUGACCUCCGUUGCGCCAGAGGCGUCAGAUAGUUUGCUGGAAGUGCUUCGCGGCGCUUCCAUGGGUGAAGAGCACCAUACUCUUAUGAGUGCGGUGAUUCAGAAGGUUCGGUCUGCCAAAAGAGGAUUGACCGAAGCCCGCACCAGCCUCCUGACAGGCUUUGAGGCGGUGCUGCUUGCCGCUGCUGCCUGGACAACAGAGGUCGCCGGACUCGAACGGGACCUGAAGCAGGCCGAAGAGGAGCUCGGCCUCACGAAGAGGCAGCUCGAAGAGAACAAAGGGGCCGCGACCGAAGUGGCGGCUGUGAAGAAAGCGCUAUCCGAGGCCGAAGGUAAGGCAGCCAUGGAGGCAUUGAGCGUGAAAAGCAAGAUGUUAGGGUGGGCGAGGUACAACAAGAGCUCCAGGAGUUUGGCAAGAAGUUCGAGUCCUUGGAGCGUGACUUCAAGACGAAAGAGUCCGAGCUUGCGAAGGCCCUUCAGAGCGCAAAAGAUGCCAGGGCCGAAGCCCAAAAGGCCCAGCAGGAAAUCCAGGCGGCCAAGAAGAUAG
This 1503-nucleotide ribosomal RNA is filed under the name Triticum aestivum (bread wheat). RNAcentral's name for it is "partial small subunit ribosomal RNA". Lineage: Eukaryota; Viridiplantae; Streptophyta; Magnoliopsida; Poales; Poaceae. The record is from RNAcentral.